RNAcentral lists this ribosomal RNA (76 nucleotides) under Gammaproteobacteria bacterium. RNAcentral's name for it is "partial 23S ribosomal RNA". It matches the Rfam family "Bacterial large subunit ribosomal RNA", at positions 1 to 76 of the family's 2925-position model. The record is from RNAcentral. Lineage: Bacteria; Pseudomonadati; Pseudomonadota; Gammaproteobacteria.
GGUCAAGCAAACAAGCGCAUACGGUGGAUGCCUUGGCGAUAAGAGGCGAUGAAGGACGUGGUAGUCUGCGAUAAGC